CAGAUCCGUAUUUGUAUAGUACCAACUCUUGAGCUAGUUUUAUGAGAUACUAUAGAUAAGUAUUUGUACAGUACCAACUCUUGAGACUCGGUCAAGGCAUGAAAGCAGUUAGUCCCCAAUUCUUUAGAGCUUCUUAUUUCAUCUUUGUUUUACUUUUUCCUUUUUGAAUACUAUUCCUUGCUCUCAGACACUCGUACCACUUUUUCCAAUCUUAUGAGCAGGGAAGGGAAUAGCUAACUUACAGUAGGAAAAGAAUAGGAUUACAGAUAUUAUGGAAGAGAAUAGGAUUACGGACGAGCAGGGAAGGGAAUAGCUAACUUACAGGCUGGAGGAAGAGAAUAGCUAACUUACAGUAGGGUAGGAAGAGAAUAGGAUUACUUACAGUAGGGAAGGGAAUAGCUAACUUACAGUAGGAAAAGAAUAGGAUUACAGAUAUUAUGGAAGAGAAUAGGAUUCAAGAUCUUAUGGAGGAGAAUAGGAUCACAGAUAGUAUGGAAGGGGAGUCCUACCUCUUUGAGAAAGAAGAGGAAAAUCAAGAGCUAGGAAAGAAAGAGAAGGCUUAAGGCUAUCAAUUCCUUUUAAAAACUAUGUUUUCAAGGAUUCUAUCACCACCGUAAAGAAAAGAGCCCAAGGAGGACAACUGGUUCAAGAGUCAACUCAAAGGUUAUGACCCGUAAGAUAAGGCAGGCUCUUUUGAAGGAAAAAGUUAAAGCAAGUUCACAAGCAACCGUAACAACUCCCGUA
This 744-nucleotide long non-coding RNA is filed under the name Musa acuminata (dwarf banana). RNAcentral's name for it is "long non-coding RNA (MACU_LNC007888)". Lineage: Eukaryota; Viridiplantae; Streptophyta; Magnoliopsida; Zingiberales; Musaceae. The record is from RNAcentral.